Molecule: ribosomal RNA, 468 nt
Filed under: uncultured bacterium
Lineage: Bacteria
Description: partial 16S ribosomal RNA
Rfam family: Bacterial small subunit ribosomal RNA
Source: RNAcentral
GACGAACGCUGGCGGCGCGCCUAACACAUGCAAGUCGAACGGAGCUGAGAGAAGCUUGCUUUUCUUAGCUUAGUGGCGAACGGGUGAGUAACGCGUGAGUAACCUGCCCUGGAGUGGGGGACAACAGUUGGAAACGACUGCUAAUACCGCAUAAGCCCACGAUCCGGCAUCGGAUUGAGGGAAAAGGAUUUAUUCGCUUCAGGAUGGACUCGCGUCCAAUUAGCUAGUUGGUGAGGUAACGGCCCACCAAGGCGACGAUUGGUAGCCGGACUGAGGGGUUGAACGGCCACAGUGGGACUGAGACACGGCCCAGACUCCUACGGGAGGCAGCAGUGGGGGAUAUUACACAAUGGGGGAAACCCUGAUGCAGCGACGCCGCGUGGAGGAAGAAGGUUUUCGGAUUGUAAACUCCUGUCGUUAGGGACGAUAAUGACGGUACCUAACAAGAAAGCACCGGCUAACUACGUG